CUAGUUUUUGUGGGUAUGUGUGUGUGCGUACGGGACAAAGAGCAGGAAGGGGGAAACCCUUCUCCAUCAAGCUUUGCAAGAAAUCCAAGAAAUUAAGGAGGAUUAAGGCUAGGUCUUUGAUGCAUGAGUUUAGAUUCAUGAUUCCUUAAGUGUUCUUGACAUCAAGAUAAAUAACAUGUCUACGGACUCAAGCACGGAGGCUAGCGGGUCAAAAGUAAGCAUGGAACCUAUGCUUGAACUUGGUCGCUCAAGGAAAACGAAGAUUUACGCAGGUUGUACGAAUCACGGGUGGUUAUCACGAGGAAUAGAGCUCGAAGAGCGAGUCACAAGCUAGAUUGUACGGGAAUAACUGAAUAUGUAUUAUUAGUAAUCGGGGCUUAUGCUUUAUUUUUUUGUAAAAGAUACAUAUUAAAACGUACUUUCAAGUAAGUCAUGACGUUAAUAAU
This is a long non-coding RNA of Helianthus annuus (common sunflower), 446 nucleotides long. RefSeq lists it as uncharacterized. The record is from RefSeq and is a predicted model, not a curated record. The transcript is spliced from 4 exons. Lineage: Eukaryota; Viridiplantae; Streptophyta; Magnoliopsida; Asterales; Asteraceae.